This 575-nucleotide ribosomal RNA is filed under the name Fusarium avenaceum. Its description in RNAcentral is "eukaryotic LSU rRNA". The stretch from base 193 to 346 matches the Rfam family "5.8S ribosomal RNA". The record is from RNAcentral. Lineage: Eukaryota; Fungi; Ascomycota; Sordariomycetes; Hypocreales; Nectriaceae.
GGAAUUAAGAUCUCCGUUGGUGACCAGCGGAGGGAUCAUUACCGAGUUUACAACUCCCAAACCCCUGUGAACAUACCUUAAUGUUGCCUCGGCGGAUCAGCCCGCGCCCCGUAAAACGGGACGGCCCGCCAGAGGACCCAAACUCUAAUGUUUCUUAUUGUAACUUCUGAGUAAAACAAACAAAUAAAUCAAAACUUUCAACAACGGAUCUCUUGGUUCUGGCAUCGAUGAAGAACGCAGCAAAAUGCGAUAAGUAAUGUGAAUUGCAGAAUUCAGUGAAUCAUCGAAUCUUUGAACGCACAUUGCGCCCGCUGGUAUUCCGGCGGGCAUGCCUGUUCGAGCGUCAUUUCAACCCUCAAGCCCCCGGGUUUGGUGUUGGGGAUCGGCUCUGCCCUUCUGGGCGGUGCCGCCCCCGAAAUACAUUGGCGGUCUCGCUGCAGCCUCCAUUGCGUAGUAGCUAACACCUCGCAACUGGAACGCGGCGCGGCCAUGCCGUAAAACCCCAACUUCUGAAUGUUGACCUCGGAUCAGGUAGGAAUACCCGCUGAACUUAAGCAUAUCAAUAAGCGGAGGAA